This 500-nucleotide ribosomal RNA is filed under the name uncultured bacterium. RNAcentral's name for it is "partial 16S ribosomal RNA". It matches the Rfam family "Bacterial small subunit ribosomal RNA", at positions 32 to 523 of the family's 1533-position model. The record is from RNAcentral.
AUUUAACGCUGGCGGAAUGCUUUACACAUGCAAGUCGAACGGCAGCACGGACUUCGGUCUGGUGGCGAGUGGCGAACGGGUGAGUAAUGUAUCGGAACGUGCCCAGUCGUGGGGGAUAACGUAGUGAAAAUUACGCUAAUACCGCAUACGAUCUAUGAAUGAAAGCGGGGGAUCGCAAGACAUCGCGCGCAUGGAGCGGCCGAUAUCAGAUUAGGUAGUUGGUGGGGUAAAGGCCCACCAAGCCAACGAUCUGUAGCUGGUCUGAGAGGACGACCAGCCACACUGGAACUGAGACACGGUCCAGACUCCUACGGGAGGCAGCAGUGGGGAAUUUUGGACAAUGGGCGAAAGCCUGAUCCAGCCAUUCCGCGUGCAGGAUGAAGGCCCUCGGGUUGUAAACUGCUUUUGUACAGAACGAAAAGGUUUCUACUAAUACUAGGAGCUCAUGACGGUACUGUAAGAAUAAGCACCGGCUAACUACGUGCCAGCCGCCGCGGUAA